RNAcentral lists this ribosomal RNA (490 nucleotides) under uncultured fungus. Its description in RNAcentral is "eukaryotic LSU rRNA". The stretch from base 174 to 325 matches the Rfam family "5.8S ribosomal RNA". Lineage: Eukaryota; Fungi. The record is from RNAcentral.
AAGUCGUAACAAGGUCUCCGUAGGUGAACCUGCGGAGGGAUCAUUAUCGAAUGGUUCUUGGACCUUUCCAACCCUUCAAACCUGUGGAAGCGAUAUCGUGCUUCGGUGCCCCGUAAGGGUCGCCGUUUUUAUGCCGGAAUCUGUGUGUUGUCUGAGUGAAACAUUAGAAUCAAAACUUUCAACAAAGGAUCUCUUGGCUCUCGCAUCGAUGAAGAACGCAGCGAAGCGCGAAAUGUAGUGUGAAUCGCAGAACAUUGUGAAUCAUCGAAUCUUUGAACGCACAUUGCGCCUCCCGUAACAGAGAGGCAUGCCUGUCUGAGUCUCAUUAAAUCUCUAAACCCCUGGGUUUGUGCUUGGGCGUUCGCCGAUAGGGCGUCGCCUCAAAGUCAUCUGUCUUAUGAGCGGACGAGAUCCUUUCGGACUUACCGUUUGUGGGACCCAAAAUCUCUAAUUUGAGCUCAGAUCAGGUAGGACUACCGCCUGAACUUAA